Gastrolobium bilobum is the source of this 107-nucleotide small nucleolar RNA. The record is from RefSeq and is a predicted model, not a curated record. Lineage: Eukaryota; Viridiplantae; Streptophyta; Magnoliopsida; Fabales; Fabaceae.
AAGUCAUAUUGUGGGCAUUUUCUGAUCAACUCCUGGAAUCUCGUCCAAGCAUCACAGAGUGUCUCUCCUGGUUGCUGAAUGAAGUUAGUGAUUUCGUUCACCAACUU